CACGUAGGAGGCGAACGUUAUCCGGAUUUACUGGGCGUAAAGCGCGUGUAGGCGGGGGGACAAGUCUGAUGUGAAAGCCCUGGGCUUAACCUGGGAAGUGCAUUGGAAACUGUUUUUCUUGAGUACUGGAGAGGAAGGGGGAAUUCCCGGUGUAGAGGUGAAAUUCGUAGAGAUCGGGAGGAAUACCAGUGGCGUAGGCGCCCUUCUGGACGGUAACUGACGCUGAGACGCGAAAGCGUGGGGAGCAAACAGG
This 253-nucleotide ribosomal RNA is filed under the name uncultured prokaryote. RNAcentral's name for it is "partial 16S ribosomal RNA". It matches the Rfam family "Bacterial small subunit ribosomal RNA", at positions 524 to 776 of the family's 1533-position model. The record is from RNAcentral.